AUUAUCAAAAAGAGCACCCUGAAUGAACCUGAUCGUGUCUGAUCUCAGAAGCUAAGCAGGGUCAGGCCUGGUUAGUACUUGGAUGGGAGACCACCUAGGAAUACCAGGUGCUGUAGGUG
This 119-nucleotide ribosomal RNA is filed under the name Pteropus alecto (black flying fox). The record is from RNAcentral. Lineage: Eukaryota; Metazoa; Chordata; Mammalia; Chiroptera; Pteropodidae.